Long non-coding RNA from Mya arenaria, 255 nucleotides. RefSeq lists it as uncharacterized. The transcript is spliced from 3 exons. The record is from RefSeq and is a predicted model, not a curated record. NCBI's taxonomy places the organism in Eukaryota, Metazoa, Mollusca, Bivalvia, Myida, Myidae.
GGCAGUUUGAGGAAGGGAAGUUGUAUAUGAUCGAUGAUCAUCAGGGUAACACCAGGAAAAUGAUCUUUACCAAGGGAGAUUUCAUGCCAUUGCAGGAACCAGAUAAAUCCAUACACGAUGUCAUAUAGUGGAGUUCUGAAGAACAUAUAUUGUGCUUGAUAAAAUUUACAGUCCAGGUCACAAGACACCAAAGCAGAAGCUUAUUCGUUUAAAGCCACAUGGCCAUCAUUCGAACGGUCGAUAUAUGCACCCGAU